AGAGUUUGAUCCUGGCUCAGAACGAACGCUGGCGGCGUGGAUAAGACAUGCAAGUCGAGCGAGAGUUUGUGGGUAGCAAUAUUUGCAAACUUUAGCGGCGGAAGGGUGCGUAACACGUGGGUAAUUUACCAUAAAGACUGGAAUAACUUGCUGAAAGGCGAGCUAAUACCGGAUGUGACUGCGGGGAGGCAUUUCCUUGUGGUUAAAGCUGGGGACCGUAAGGCCUGGCACUUUUUGAUAAGCCCGCGGCCUAUCAGCUAGUUGGUGGGGUAAUGGCCUACCAAGGCGACGACGGGUAGCCGACCUGAGAGGGUGACCGGCCACACUGGGACUGAGACACGGCCCAGACUCCUACGGGAGGCAGCAGUGGGGAAUAUUGCACAAUGGGCGAAAGCCUGAUGCAGCGACGCCGCGUGAGGGAUGACGGCCUUCGGGUUGUAAACCUCUUUCAGCAGGGACGAAGCGCAAGUGACGGUACCUGCAGAAGAAGCACCGGCUAACUACGUGCCAGCAGCCGCGGUAAUACGUAGGGUGCAAGCGUUGUCCGGAAUUACUGGGCGUAAAGAGUUCGUAGGCGGUUUGUCGCGUCGUUUGUGAAAACCAGCAGCUCAACUGCUGGCUUGCAGGCGAUACGGGCAGACUUGAGUACUGCAGGGGAGACUGGAAUUCCUGGUGUAGCGGUGAAAUGCGCAGAUAUCAGGAGGAACACCGGUGGCGAAGGCGGGUCUCUGGGCAGUAACUGACGCUGAGGAACGAAAGCGUGGGUAGCGAACAGGAUUAGAUACCCUGGUAGUCC
RNAcentral lists this ribosomal RNA (796 nucleotides) under uncultured bacterium. Its description in RNAcentral is "bacterial SSU rRNA". It matches the Rfam family "Bacterial small subunit ribosomal RNA", at positions 8 to 796 of the family's 1533-position model. The record is from RNAcentral.